Non-coding RNA from Bos taurus (domestic cattle), 46 nucleotides. The record is from Rfam. NCBI's taxonomy places the organism in Eukaryota, Metazoa, Chordata, Mammalia, Artiodactyla, Bovidae.
ACAACGGCCCUUUUCAGGGCCACCCACUUGGUCAUAAGAAGGGCUG